Long non-coding RNA from Poeciliopsis prolifica (blackstripe livebearer), 1299 nucleotides. RefSeq lists it as uncharacterized. The record is from RefSeq and is a predicted model, not a curated record. The transcript is spliced from 3 exons. Lineage: Eukaryota; Metazoa; Chordata; Actinopteri; Cyprinodontiformes; Poeciliidae.
UAAUGCAUAUCAAAUGAGCACUACACUUGCAAUCAGCUGUGCUUUUUCCCUUGAGCCCGUUCUCCGUCUCACCCGGUGUAGCAGAAAGGAGGAGCUUACGUCCAAGUGGUGAUGUUAGAAGAACCAGAGAACAUGUCUGGAAAAUGUGCUUUACAUCCUCACCAUCUUCCAGCUGAGUGGACAAGACUGAGGCGACCCAGAAGCCUGUUGCGUGACAACUGGUCCAGGAAUCUGCACCUUGAUCCUCCACUUCCACUCCACAGAGGUUGCACGGUGCCUCUGCGGAGGAGCAGAUGGUUCUUCUGCUUCAACCCAGCACUUCCUCCCAGUUGGAGCAUCUCUCUGACAGAUGGGCCCAGGAUCCUGGACCAGCCUAAUCUCCAGCACUCCUCCACUUAAAGGCACAGUGGAACUACAGCUCUACCUCCUCAGUCCCCACUGAGCCAGGAUCAUUAGGAGACAUCAAUAAAGCCAGCCUGACUGCUGCUGUCACGUACAGCUGAACCGAUCAUGCAUUAGAAGCUUUACUAAAUUAUAAUGCAAUUUUACUUUAAAAUGACAGGAAGCAGGAGGCUAAGUCAGUUAUUCCACAGUGUUAACAUUAGAGAAACAGUACAACAGAACAAAGGAUAAAUGGGGGGAAAGAUUGGAUAUUUCCUUGAAAUUCAUGGAUUAAAAUUACUUUUGCAUACAUUGUUUAAUCAUUCAAUUUCAAACUAAAAUUGCUGUCACUUUUUUGUAAAUUCGCAUGUCUUGCUUGCACAUACAAAAUGCCUCCUCCCUUUCUCGCCCGUCUGCCUGCUUGCUUUGCUUUGACCGGGUCUUGACCACGUCUGCGCUCUAUGGAGCCAAAGUUGACAUGUCGACAAUUCCCACAACUAUAACGGACUUUGGAAAUGCCAGGAGAUAUUCCGCUGCUCCCUGUGCCCGAGCCAGCUCGAAGGGAAAUCGGCUUUUAAUCAUUCGCUGCGGCGAAUCGGCACGUUGUCGACAGUUUUCAAAUAAAUGUACAGCACAGGAGAGGCGACACUCUGCCCGAAGCGAGCAGGGGAGAAGCCCCCUUCAGUGCUCAGAUAAUGUCAAGGAGCUGUGUGCUCAUGUGAGAGUCCAAAUGUUGAAAUUCGGCAAAAUAAAAGAACAGCAGAGGGCUACUUUGACAUGAAAGAAGUAUUGAAAAUAUAUUCGGACAGCUUCGCCUGCCUUACACAGACGGCUGGAAAUGACGCACACGAAAGGAAAUCACCAAUGUACUGAGUUGGCAGCAAAGUAAUUAUUCAGAAUUUUAUAAAUGUCUAAAUU